GAUGAACGCUGGCGGCGUGCUUAACACAUGCAAGUCGAACGGAAAGGCUCCUGCUUGCAGGGGUACUCGAGUGGCGAACGGGUGAGUAACACGUGGGUGAUCUGCCCUGCACUUCGGGAUAAGCCUGGGAAACUGGGUCUAAUACCGGAUAGGACUAUGGUUUGGAUGCCAUUGUGGAAAGUUUUUCGGUGUGGGAUGAGCUCGCGGCCUAUCAGCUUGUUGGUGGGGUAAUGGCCUACCAAGGCGUCGACGGGUAGCCGGCCUGAGAGGGUGUACGGCCACAUUGGGACUGAGAUACGGCCCAGACUCCUACGGGAGGCAGCAGUGGGGAAUAUUGCACAAUGGGCGCAAGCCUGAUGCAGCGACGCCGCGUGGGGGAUGACGGCCUUCGGGUUGUAAACUCCUUUCGCUAGGGAAGAAGCGCAAGUGACGGUACCUGGAGAAGAAGCACCGGCUAACUACGUG
RNAcentral lists this ribosomal RNA (465 nucleotides) under uncultured bacterium. RNAcentral's name for it is "partial 16S ribosomal RNA". It matches the Rfam family "Bacterial small subunit ribosomal RNA", at positions 28 to 507 of the family's 1533-position model. The record is from RNAcentral.